AUGGACCCAGGUGGGGACGCGGGCGGGGUCAGCGCUGCUCUCAGCAGGGCUCCCCAGCCCCGCGCAGGGGAACAAACCCAGCCGCUGACCCCGCCAGGGGCAGGAGUGGGGCAGCACCUCUGCCCCCGGCACCCUGCAGCGGCGUGGGGUGAGUGCGGGGCACCCGAGCCCCCCUGCACCAGCCCCCCCACCCCUCGCAGGGGUACCCGGAGGCCAGGCCCCCCGUUAGGGCCCCAGCACCACACCGGKGCGGCUCCAGGCGGCUCUGAGCCGGGCCCCUGCCUGCCCCGGGGGUGGCAUCGCCCAGGCGGUGCCUGGCCUCAUGUCCCUGGGCUCCCUGGCCCAGCGCUCACCCCGCAGCCCAUGGCGGGGCCGUGGCUGCUGCCGUCGCGGGGCUCACCCCGGGCAGGCGGGUGGGAAGGGAAGGCAGCGUUCCUGCAGGCUGAGCCAGCGCUGACUCCCGGCCCACAGCUGCUUCCCGACGAGCCCAGCACCGGCCCCAGGCUGCGAGGCCGUGGGCUGCGCUGGCUCCCCUCUUCCAGCUCCCUCUGUCCCUCCGGUGGCACUGGGCCGCUGGCAGCCAGCAAAGGGGCUCUUGCCGCAGCUGGUGCCCGGGGUCAGGGAUGCUGGGCCACGCCAGAGCCCUUCUCCACCAGACAGGCAUGUUCCGCCCCUUCCCUUCGUCCUCACCGGGCAGAGGCCGCGUGCGGCGCCCAGCUCCGUCCCGCUCCGCGGCCUCGAGGCAGUGCCGGGGAAGCGCGGCACGACCGCUCUCUCCACUCACGCCUGCAGUUUGGGGUCAGCCCCGGCCCGUCCCAGGGCGGCCCUCGGCCCCGCCGGGUGCUCCCCAGAGCGGGGCGCCCCGAGACRCCCCGGCUUGCGCGCCGGCCGGCUGCAGGCGCCCGGCAUGGCGAGCUGCGGCCGGCACCACAUUCGAAGCGGGUGCGGGGGGCCGGCCCGCGGCGCCGCGGCUGCUGGAGCGAGAGGUUGCAGGGCAGCGAGCCGGGGAGGGGGAAGGCUCUCGCUUGUGUUAUUUACCUGGGACUAAACGCAGGCACCGUUUGCUAA
This 1068-nucleotide long non-coding RNA is filed under the name Apteryx haastii (Great spotted kiwi). RNAcentral's name for it is "lncRNA (ENSAHAG00000014616.1)". The record is from RNAcentral. Lineage: Eukaryota; Metazoa; Chordata; Aves; Apterygiformes; Apterygidae.